UUUGCAAGUGCUAAGUAGUGGUGCCGCAGGUAACCUGUAUGCGAUUACCUGCCGCCUGCUGCUUACCAUUUGUACG
RNAcentral lists this microRNA precursor (76 nucleotides) under Haemonchus contortus (barber pole worm). Its description in RNAcentral is "microRNA hco-mir-252 precursor". Its record names the gene hco-mir-252. It matches the Rfam family "mir-252 microRNA precursor family". Lineage: Eukaryota; Metazoa; Nematoda; Chromadorea; Rhabditida; Trichostrongylidae. The record is from miRBase by way of RNAcentral.